GAUUCUCUGGAGAGUCUCGCAAAGAGCGCCGAAGGUGUACGCGCGGAUUUCCGGCCGCAGGAGGCAGGACCGUGCAAUCUCUCAGGCAAAAGGACAGAGCAGA
RNAcentral lists this non-coding RNA (103 nucleotides) under human gut metagenome. RNAcentral's name for it is "Glycine riboswitch". It matches the Rfam family "Glycine riboswitch aptamer", at positions 9 to 86 of the family's 94-position model. Rfam says of the family: This family represents the bacterial glycine riboswitch. RNAcentral also lists the same sequence under 1 other name. The record is from RNAcentral.